Molecule: ribosomal RNA, 1375 nt
Filed under: metagenome
Description: bacterial SSU rRNA
Rfam family: Bacterial small subunit ribosomal RNA
Source: RNAcentral
AGAGUUUGAUCCUGGCUCAGAUUGAACGCUGGCGGAAUGCUUUACACAUGCAAGUCGAGCGGCAGCGUGGGGGCAACCCUGGCGGCGAGCGGCGAACGGGUGAGUAAUACAUCGGAACGUACCCUAUCGUGGGGGAUAACGAAUCGAAAGAUUCGCUAAUACCGCAUAAGACCUGAGGGUGAAAGCGGGGGAUCGCAAGACCUCGCGCGAUUGGAGCGGCCGAUGUCGGAUUAGCUAGUUGGUGGGGUAAAGGCUCACCAACGCGACGAUCCGUAGCGGGUCUGAGAGGACGGCCCGCCACACUGGAACUGAGACACGGUCCAGACUCCUACGGGAGGCAGCAGUGGGGAAUUUUGGACAAUGGGCGCAAGCCUGAUCCAGCCAUUCCGCGUGAGUGAAGAAGGCCUUCGGGUUGUAAAGCUCUUUCGGCAGGAACGAAACGGUGCGGGCUAAUAUCCCGUAUCAAUGACGGUACCUGAAGAAGAAGCACCGGCUAACUACGUGCCAGCAGCCGCGGUAAUACGUAGGGUGCGAGCGUUAAUCGGAAUUACUGGGCGUAAAGCGUGCGCAGGCGGUUUUGUAAGACAGAUGUGAAAUCCCCGGGCUUAACCUGGGAACUGCGUUUGUGACUGCAAGACUUGAGUCGGCAGAGGGGGGUGGAAUUCCACGUGUAGCAGUGAAAUGCGUAGAGAUGUGGAGGAACACCGAUGGCGAAGGCAGCCCCCUGGGUCGACACUGACGCUCAUGCACGAAAGCGUGGGGAGCAAACAGGAUUAGAUACCCUGGUAGUCCACGCCCUAAACGAUGCCAACUAGGUGUUGGGGAAGGAGACUUCCUUAGUACCGUAGCUAACGCGUGGAGUUGGCCGCCUGGGGAGUACGGUCGCAAGAUUAAAACUCAAAGGAAUUGACGGGGACCCGCACAAGCGGUGGAUGAUGUGGAUUAAUUCGAUGCAACGCGAAAAACCUUACCUACCCUUGACAUGCCAGGAAUUCUGCUGAGAGGUGGAAGUGCCCGAAAGGGAACCUGGACACAGGUGCUGCAUGGCUGUCGUCAGCUCGUGUCGUGAGAUGUUGGGUUAAGUCCCGCAACGAGCGCAACCCUUGUCGUUAAUUGCCAUCAUUAAGUUGGGCACUUUAACGAGACUGCCGGUGACAAACCGGAGGAAGGUGGGGAUGACGUCAAGUCCUCAUGGCCCUUAUGGGUAGGGCUUCACACGUCAUACAAUGGUCGGUACAGAGGGUUGCCAACCCGCGAGGGGGAGCCAAUCCCAGAAAGCCGAUCGUAGUCCGGAUCGCAGUCUGCAACUCGACUGCGUGAAGUCGGAAUCGCUAGUAAUCGUGGAUCAGCAUGCCACGGUGAAUACGUUCCCGGG